CAAACGGGGAGGAGACCAUCCAACCGUGUAAAUUUACUACGUAGCUAGUGGCGGUGUACCUGGUUCGUUUCAUAACCUACAGAGAAGCUAAUUUAAUGAAGCAGGAGACGGUUAGAUGCGUGGCCACAUUACGCCUAGUUGCUAAAGACCGUCUGUACCACAAGGAUAGCUAUUCCGUAUAAUAUGGCUCCACGUGCAGAGAGGUGUAAGUGUAUAAAGGGCAUAAGCCAACGCAUCCGGACACGAUCUACUGCACAACGAUGCGGUACCAGACUUCAGGAGUUUGUACUUUAUUUUCUCUUGGAUAUCUUCUAAUCUAUCAAGACCAGUGAGGCACAAGCUUUACUAAACGAUUCGGCUGCUGCUUGUAUAGUAAUAAUAAAAAUAUCAGAGUAUAGGAAUUUUAAGCAUCAAGUAUCACUAUUCCUGUACUGCAUGUCUACACAGCUGAUUUAAAGCAGACUCGGUGUAUUUCAUGGGAAAAACAACUAGCCUAUUAAAGAGACUCGUAAAAUGAAUACUAAGGAGACUUAUCUCAGAGCGGUUGGUCUGUCAUAACUACUUGACUGGCACGAAUUAGUGCCAACAAUAAAUAAAGUAUGAAUGAAAGUUUAUAUUAUAAAGCUCUUAGAAGGUCUGCUGCUCGCGAAACAUUACGGCGUAAGUUUAAAAGCGGACAAACAACCUCAGACGUCUCAGCUGUUGUGAAGUUCGGAAAGGCCGGCCAGCAUAACGUAACGUUGGCCAAAGGAAACGACUGGCGGACGGAGCGCAGCCGCACCAUGGUUGUGACAAAGGGGUGUGGUUUACGGGAACUUGGUUGGAAAUGGCGUACAUGCCAGGCAUGUACAUUGCGCAUGCGGAAACACUUUACGGCACACUUAUACGUCCCUUACAGUCACGUGAUAUGUAUUUGCAACGGCAAUAUUAGGUACCGCGAUUAUUUGGCAGCAGCAAUUGCAAACUUCGAAUAUUUAAGUAUGGCGGAAAAGAUAUGCCGGAAAAAGUCCAUUAUUUAUCAGACGGUUGUCUUCAACGGACAUCCGGAUAGAAAUACAAUUAAAUAUUUAAGCAGAUUUAAGUUGGUGAAUGUAUAUAUAUUAAGACCACUUGGAUUUUCGUGGUUUGCGUAUUCGAGGGAUGCGGACAGGGUGUCACGGCACCAUUUUGGUAGCCCUUCCAGCGGUUCCUGUCAUUUAUGCUUGUGAGCUUGCAACCAGAGUCCACCCUGCAGCUGUGCUAUGUUUUUAAGCUGGGUGUCCACUGCUCCAAGAACUUCCCCUGGUUAAAUCUGUCUUCCUUUCAGAAAGUCCAUUGUCGGAAGUAUUCUAGUUUUUAAAAUUAGGUUUAAUCGGCAAAAAAAAUGAAACCAUGUCACCUUAAUUUGUUUUGCCUGCAUCAGGGGCGUGUAGUACAGCAGUUACCCGAAGAUCGCUAUUCCCGUUCUAAAUAGCCGCAUUUCUAUGGCGUUAAAUUAGUGCCAAAAGUCUUGCGCUCGCGAGCAGAAAAUCCAUGCUCUCUACGCGCUCGCGAUUGCACAGCACUCACUCGCUCGACGUUAAAUUAGUGCCAAAAGUCGAACUACGCGCGUAUGUGCGCUCGCGUGCUGAAAACCCAUCCCCUCUAAGCGCUCGCGUUCGCUGGACCUUAUCUACGCGCUCGCCUCUGCACAGCACUCGCUCGACAGGAAGAAUUUUGACACUUUGGGGGCGGGAACAGUGGCUAAUGGCUCCGCUUCUUUGUUUUUUUUAUAUUGACUACGAUUGGCUGUUUGCUUUGGUAGAAGAUGAAGAUAAUUGACCAAUGGAUGUGGGAUUCACACUGUCAUGGUGUCGGAGCAACUCGGAUACCACCUUCUCGAAAGUCUUCUGCAUAAAAUAGAAAUGGGAUUCAGAGCGACUCCACUAAAUUUGGAUUACCUGGAGUUCCUUUGUCAUCAGGAACUGUAUCUUCUGCAGGCCCUGUCUAAUCACAUUGAAGUACCUACUGCUAUCACCCUGGCUUUGCAAGAGCUCUUUGACCUUGUGAGAGCACAUCUGGAACGUCCAGCUCCAUGUGUCACACAGGAAGUCACUGCCACCAUUGGACGACCCAAGAUUUUGAUUGAAGAUCAACAUUUGAAAGAAAUGCUCCAUACUCAACUUCCUGUGCCUUGCAUAGCCACACUGAUGGGUGUUUUAAGAAGAAUGAAAGAGUAUGAGUUCUGUGUAAGGGGCACAUAUAAUUCCAUCAGUGAUGAGGAACUUGACAAUUUGGUUUCUUCUGUCAAGAAUGAUCUACCAAAUGCAGGCUACAGGAUGGUCAGAGGGAGGCUGCAGUCAAUGGGCUACAGGGUUCGGUGGAGAAGAGUUGCAGCCUCCAUGCAUAGAGUUGAUUCCAUGCGCAUCAUAUCAAGGUUGUCAAGUCUUGGCUGUGUUGUACGCAGAAUGUACUCUGUACCAGGGCCUUUGUCUCUGGUACAUGUGGACACAAACCACAAGUUGAUCCGAUUUGUAUUAACAGCAAAUUUAUUUGAAGUUUGUUCAUCUACAGCCCUGGGUGGAUUGGUGUGAGGUGGUGGUGGGGCUUUGGAGAAGAUUUCCUGCCGAUCAACACUGGCAGCUUAUAUCUAUGUGUCAUGGAGGUCUCGGGACUCACAGAUAUUCAGAGACAUGUGGAUAGUUUACCAGUGUUUUUCAGCAGGAAAUAGUUAUUACUACAAAUUGUCACCCCCCCCCACAGAAACUGGAUCCGGCUAUAGUGGGAAAAUCUUUUUUUUUUUUUUUUUUUUUGUGAGAACUUGAAAGCAAAGUAAACAAAACUUGGAAAAAUAUAUAUGCUCAUGCACCAAUUUUCUAAUCUGGGGUCUAAAGUGGUCAGGCUUGCAAGUGUAUUUGGUUAUUUGUCUAUCCUAGCCUGUUGCAGUGUAUAUUUCCUGUAUAUUUUGCAUGUAAAAAUGUUGUUUGUUAUGUCAGUGUUUAAUAUUAAUCAUGUAGUCUUCAUGAACUUUGUUUUAACCCGACUUAAUGGCUUUCUUCAUCUUGGCCAGGGACUGCAUUUGGAAAGUAGCCACUUGACUAAAAUUGGCACAUUUUCAGAAAUGCCAGCAACAAUACUGAUAAUGAACACCCCUCUAACUGACUCUCAGUUGGUUUAGAAAAAAGACUUUUAAGAGAAAAGAAAGCCUU
Molecule: long non-coding RNA, 3167 nt
Organism: Brienomyrus brachyistius
Lineage: Eukaryota; Metazoa; Chordata; Actinopteri; Osteoglossiformes; Mormyridae
Exons: 2
Source: RefSeq, a predicted model, not a curated record